GCUUAAGUAGUUUAAAAAGAACAUGACGUUGAAGCUGUCAAGGAGGGCUAUGGUCUCUUAAGCA
Molecule: transfer RNA, 64 nt
Filed under: Iridona iridescens
Lineage: Eukaryota; Metazoa; Mollusca; Bivalvia; Cardiida; Tellinidae
Description: Moerella iridescens tRNA-Phe
Source: RNAcentral